GGGCCAUUGCUAUUAUCAAGGAUAUGCUGCAGAGAUUCCAAAAUCAGCUGUGACACUUAGCACCUGUUCUGGACUCAGAGGAUUAUUGCAGUUGGAGAAUGUCAGUUAUGGAAUUGAACCAUUGGAGUCUGCAGCUAUGUAUGAACAUAUACUUUAUCAAAUAAAGAAUAAUGAAAUUGAUUUUUUUUUCUUUACAAGAAAAUGAUUCUACAAUCCAAGCUGCAAAUCAGCCCUAUAAGAUUCUUGUGAAGUCAGAA
Phyllostomus discolor (pale spear-nosed bat) is the source of this 257-nucleotide long non-coding RNA. RefSeq lists it as uncharacterized. NCBI's taxonomy places the organism in Eukaryota, Metazoa, Chordata, Mammalia, Chiroptera, Phyllostomidae. The record is from RefSeq and is a predicted model, not a curated record. The transcript is spliced from 2 exons.